This 960-nucleotide ribosomal RNA is filed under the name Fulvifomes rhytiphloeus. RNAcentral describes it as "partial large subunit ribosomal RNA". It matches the Rfam family "Eukaryotic large subunit ribosomal RNA", at positions 21 to 951 of the family's 3401-position model. Lineage: Eukaryota; Fungi; Basidiomycota; Agaricomycetes; Hymenochaetales; Hymenochaetaceae. The record is from RNAcentral.
UGGCCUUACCCGCUGAAACUUAAGCAUAUCAAUAAGCGGAGGAAAAGAAACUAACAAGGAUUCCCCUAGUAACUGCGAGUGAAGCGGGAAGAGCUCAAAUUUAAAAUCUGGCGGUCUAUGGCCGUCCGAGUUGUAAUCUGUAGAGGCAUUUUCUGCGUUGGACCGUGUACAAGUCUCCUGGGAUGGAGCGUCAUAGAGGGUGAGAAUCCCGUCCAUGACACGGACAACCAAUGCUUUGUGAUAUGCCUUCGAAGAGUCGCGUUGUUUGGGAAUGCAGCGCAAAAUGGGUGGUAAAUUCCAUCUAAGGCUAAAUAUUGGCGAGAGACCGAUAGCGAACAAGUACCGUGAGGGAAAGAUGAAAAGCACUUUGGAAAGAGAGUUAAACAGUACGUGAAAUUGUUGAAAGGGAAACGCUUGAAGUCAGUCGCGUCCCGUGGAACUCAGCCUUGCUUUGGCUUGGUGUACUUUCCAUGUCGGACGGGUCAACAUCAAUUUUGGCCGGUGGAUAAAAGUAAGAGGAAUGUGGCGUUGCUUUGGCGACGUGUUAUAGCCUCUUGUUGGAUACACCGGCUGGGAUUGAGGACUGCAGCACGCCCUUGUGGCCGAAGGUUCGCCUUACGUAUCGUGCUUAGGAUGUUGGCAUAAUGGCUUUAAGCGACCCGUCUUGAAACACGGACCAAGGAGUCUAACAUGCUUGCAAGUGUUCGGGUGAAAAACCCUUGCGCGUAAUGAAAGUGAAAGUUAGGAUCCCUCGUGAGAGGGUGCACUGACGCCCGGCCCUGACGUUCUCUGAUGGUGCUGCGGUAGAGCAAGUAUGUUGGGACCCGAAAGAUGGUGAACUAUGCCUGAAUAGGGCGAAGCCAGAGGAAACUCUGGUGGAGGCUCGUAGCGAUUCUGACGUGCAAAUCGAUCGUCAAAUUUGGGUAUAGGGGCGAAAGACUAAUCGAACCAUCAGGGCUC